GACGAACGCUGGCGGCGUGCCUAAUACAUGCAAGUCGAACGAACAGACGAGGAGCUUGCUCCUCUGACGUUAGCGGAGGACGGGUGAGUAACACGAGGAUCACCUACUUAUCUGACUGGGAUCAUUACGGGAAACCGGAGCUUAUACCGGAUAAUAUCUUGAACCGCAUGGUUCAUUAGAGAUAGUCGGUUUUGCUGUCACUUAUCGAUGGUUACACGCCGCAUUAGCUAGUUGGUCAGGUAACGGCUUACCAAGGCAACUCUGCGUAGCCGACGGGAGAGGAGGAUCGGCCACCCUAGAACUUAGACACGGUCCAGACUCCUACGGUAGGCAGCAGAAGGGAAUCGUCCGCAGUGGGGGAAAGCCUGACGGAACGGCGCCGCGUGAGAGAUGGAGGUCCUCGGAUCGUAAAACUCUGUUAUGGGUGAAAAACAAAUUUGUAAGUAGCUAUGCACGUCGUGACGGUACCUGAUCAGAAAGCCACGGCUAACUACGUG
This 497-nucleotide ribosomal RNA is filed under the name uncultured bacterium. RNAcentral's name for it is "partial 16S ribosomal RNA". It matches the Rfam family "Bacterial small subunit ribosomal RNA", at positions 28 to 507 of the family's 1533-position model. The record is from RNAcentral.